This 500-nucleotide ribosomal RNA is filed under the name uncultured bacterium. RNAcentral describes it as "partial 16S ribosomal RNA". It matches the Rfam family "Bacterial small subunit ribosomal RNA", at positions 30 to 523 of the family's 1533-position model. The record is from RNAcentral.
AUUGAACGCUGGCGGAAUGCUUUACACAUGCAAGUCGAACGGCAGCACGGACUUCGGUCUGGUGGCGAGUGGCGAACGGGUGAGUAAUGUAUCGGAACGUGCCCAGUCGUGGGGGAUAACGUAGUGAAAAUUACGCUAAUACCGCAUACGAUCUAUGGAUGAAAGCGGGGGAUCGCAAGACCUCGCGCGAUUGGAGCGGCCGCUAUCAGAUUAGGUAGUUGGUGGGGUAAAGGCCCACCAAGCCAACGAUCUGUAGCUGGUCUGAGAGGACGACCAGCCACACUGGAACUGAGACACGGUCCAGACUCCUACGGGAGGCAGCAGUGGGGAAUUUUGGGCAAUGGGCGAAAGCCUGAUCCAGCCAUGCCGCGUGCAGGAUGAAGGCCCUCGGGUUGUAAACUGCUUUUGUACAGAACGAAAAGGUUUCUACUAAUACUAGGAGCUCAUGACGGUACUGUAAGAAUAAGCACCGGCUAACUACGUGCCAGCCGCCGCCGUAA